This 504-nucleotide ribosomal RNA is filed under the name uncultured bacterium. Its description in RNAcentral is "partial 16S ribosomal RNA". It matches the Rfam family "Bacterial small subunit ribosomal RNA", at positions 28 to 523 of the family's 1533-position model. The record is from RNAcentral.
GAUGAACGCUAGCUACAGGCUUAACGCAUGCAAGUCGAGGGGCAGCAUGACGGAAGCUUGCUUCCGUUGAUGGCGACCGGCGCACGGGUGAGUAACGCGUAUCCAACCUGCCCUUGUCCAUCGGAUAACCCGUCGAAAGGCGGACUAACACGAUAUGCAGUUCUCAGCAGGCAUCUAACGAGAACGAAAUGUGAAGGAGAAGGAUGGGGAUGCGUCUGAUUAGCUUGUUGGCGGGGUAACGGCCCACCAAGGCGACGAUCAGUAGGGGUUCUGAGAGGAAGGUCCCCCACAUUGGGACUGAGACACGGUCCAAACUCCUACGGGAGGCAGCAGUGAGGAAUAUUGGUCAAUGGGCGAGAGCCUGAACCAGCCAAGUAGCGUGCAGGAUGACGGCCCUAUGGGUUGUAAACUGCUUUUAUACGGGGAUAAAGUGGGCCACGUGUGGCUUAUUGCAGGUACCGUAUGAAUAAGGACCGGCUAAUUCCGUGCCAGCAGCCGCGGUAA